UAAUUUUCAAUUUGCACACCUGUAGUUCAACUUAUUUUUAUUUUAGAGUUAGUUUCAUACAAAUUUUUAUAAAUAUAGUGAAUUACAAAUAUAUUUUUAUAAAAUUUAUCUUUCAUAUAUUAUCACUGUAAAAGUCCCGAUGUUUUCAAAUAUAUUCCUGCCGUUAGAAUUCGUUAGAAAGAAUUGGUUAACCAUAAGUUAAAUAUAAGAAAAAACUUCAAAACCACCCCCCCGUGGUUUCGUAUUUUCUCACUUUAGUACUCUGUGGUUUAAAAUGUAGCAAUUUGUCCCCUUGUGAUUUUGUUUUGAUCUUUUCGGCAAUUUUUUUCGUAAUAUUUCAUUAAAUUAUAUACAAAAAACUUCAGAUACCCACCUAGAUUUAUCGAAUAUUUACUUUAGUAUUCUUUAAUAUAUUAAUUUUGUCACUGAUUUAAGAAAAUAAUAAUAAUAAAAUUGAUAAUAAAAAAGAAAAACAGAACCACAGGAGGGCAAAUUGAUAUAUUUUAAACUAUAGGGUACUAAAGUGAGAAAGUGCGAAACCACAAGGAGGGUUUUUGAAGUUUUUUCUAAAUAUAAUUAGUUAAUGAGGUGAAUUGACCUUCUUAUCCCUCUUUAAUUAAUAGUUGAGACUUUUAAAGAAAUAUAUUUGUGAUGGUAAAAAAGUUAUUUCAUUUAUAAAAUAAACAGUAUUUUAACGGUAACAAAUCAGAGGAAAAUAUUUGAAAAUAUUAUGAUUUUUAUAGAAACAACAUAUGAAAAUUAAAUUUAUAGAGAUAUAUUUGUAAUUUACUAUGUUUGUAGGACUCUGUAUGAAAUUAACUUUUUAUUUUAUUAUGCUAUAAAAAAUUUAUUAUUAAAUGGAUUGGCAUAGUAAUAUUUUUUGAUAAGUAUAGGGAAUUAACUGUAAUUUUUUUGAACCACGAGAUGAUAAAGUAAAAAUA
RNAcentral lists this long non-coding RNA (941 nucleotides) under Ananas comosus (pineapple). RNAcentral describes it as "long non-coding RNA (ACOM_LNC032166)". The record is from RNAcentral. Lineage: Eukaryota; Viridiplantae; Streptophyta; Magnoliopsida; Poales; Bromeliaceae.